CCUACGGGUGGCAGCAGUGAGGAAUAUUGGUCAAUGGACGAGAGUCUGAACCAGCCAAGUAGCGUGAAGGAUGACUGCCCUAUGGGUUGUAAACUUCUUUUAUAUGGGAAUAAAAUGUUCCACGUGUGGGAUUUUGUAUGUACCAUAUGAAUAAGGAUCGACUAACUCCGUGCCAGCAGCCGCGGUAAUACGGAGGAUCCGAGCGUUAUCAGGAUUUAUUGGGGUUAAAGGGAGCGUAGGUGGAUUGUUAAGUCAGUUGUGAAAGUUUGCGGCUCAACCGUAGAAUUGCAGUUGAAACUGGCAGUCUUGAGUACAGUAGAGGUGGGCGGAAUUCGUGGUGUAGCGGUGAAAUGCUUAGAUAUCACGAAGAACGCCGAUUGCGAAGGCAGUUCACUGGACUGCAACUGACACUGAGGCUCGAAAGUGUGGGUAUCAAACAGGAUUAGAUACCCUGGUAGUC
RNAcentral lists this ribosomal RNA (460 nucleotides) under uncultured bacterium. RNAcentral's name for it is "partial 16S ribosomal RNA". It matches the Rfam family "Bacterial small subunit ribosomal RNA", at positions 338 to 795 of the family's 1533-position model. The record is from RNAcentral.